CCUACGGGUGGCAGCAGUGGGGAAUAUUGCACAAUGGGGGAAACCCUGAUGCAGCGAAGCCGCGUGAGUGAAGAAGUAUUUCGUUACGGAAAGCUCUAUCAGCAGGGAAGAAAAACUGAGCUUACGGUCAGCAGACGGUACAUGUGUAAGAAGAGCCGGCGAACUACGUGCCAGAAGCCGCGGUAAUACGUAGGGGGCAAGCGUUAUCCGGGUUUACUGGGUUUAAAGGGGGCGUAGACGGUAUUGUAAGUCUGAAGUGAAAGACCGGGGCUUAACCCGGGGACUGCUUUGGAAAAUGUUUGACUUGAGUGCUGGAGAGGUAAGUGGAAUGCCUAGUGUAGCGGUGAAAUGCUUAGAUAUCAGGAGGAACCCCAGUUGCGAAGGCGGCUUACUAGACAGUAACUGACGUUGAGGCUCGAAAGCGUGGGGAUCAAACAGGAUUAGAUACCCUGGUAGUC
Molecule: ribosomal RNA, 458 nt
Filed under: uncultured bacterium
Lineage: Bacteria
Description: partial 16S ribosomal RNA
Rfam family: Bacterial small subunit ribosomal RNA
Source: RNAcentral